GAUGAACGCUGGCGGCGUGCCUAAUACAUGCAAGUCGAGCGAACAGAUGAGGAGCUUGCUCCUCUGACGUUAGCGGCGGACGUGUGAGUAACACGUGUAUAACCUACCUAUAAGACUGGUAUAACUUCGGGAAACCGGAGCUAAUACCGGAUAAUAUAUUGAACCGCAUGGUUCAAUAGUGAAAGACGGUUUUGCUGUCACUUAUAGAUGGAUCCGCGCCGCAUUAGCUAGUUGGUAAGGUAACGGCUUACCAAGGCAACGAUGCGUAGCCGACCUGAUAGGGUGAUCGGCCACACUGGAACUGAGACACGGUCCAGACGCCUACGGGAGGCAGCAGUAGGGAAUCUUCCGCAAUGGGCGAAAGCCUGACGGAGCAACGCCGCGUGAGUGAUGAAGGUCUUCGGAUCGUAAAAAUCUGUUAUUAGGGAAGAACAAAUGUGUAAGUAACUAUGCACGUAUUGACGGUAACUAAUCAGAAAGCCACGGCUAACUACGUG
This 497-nucleotide ribosomal RNA is filed under the name uncultured bacterium. RNAcentral's name for it is "partial 16S ribosomal RNA". It matches the Rfam family "Bacterial small subunit ribosomal RNA", at positions 28 to 507 of the family's 1533-position model. The record is from RNAcentral.